This is a long non-coding RNA of Mastomys coucha (southern multimammate mouse), 562 nucleotides long. RefSeq lists it as uncharacterized. The record is from RefSeq and is a predicted model, not a curated record. NCBI's taxonomy places the organism in Eukaryota, Metazoa, Chordata, Mammalia, Rodentia, Muridae. The transcript is spliced from 4 exons.
GGACAGCCAAUCAGGAACUGUAGAAGAUGCCCCACCCCCUAACUGAGUCAAUUUCAUGGGCAGCCAAUCAGGAGCCGUAGAAGCUGUCCCCCUAACCUAGCUUGAGUCAAGUACAGUUAAUCAGCAGUGGUGUGGGUGGAAUUAAAAUUAGACUGUGUUACCAAUACCAACCAUAAUGUCGUAUGGUUAGCGUGAUCCGUGUCUUACUACACCAUCGUUGUGUUUGGAAAGGCCUCAGAUUCUUGAGCCCCUUGGAUCCCUGAUGUUUAUGAUUAUGGGUUUAUGCAAGUGUUUCUCAGUCAGCCAUGACCCUGGCUGCUCUCUCUAUCAGAAGAGAAGGGUGAUCUCUUGGGACAGUCAUCUCCCCAGCCUCCCAGCCUCAUGAGGACUCUCUGAUGAAAUAUGGCCAUGAAAGUAGAAGGUAGACUGUUUCCACUGUGGGCAAGCUGAUAUGAAAGAUCAAUAAGAAAGACUAAAGAUCUUUUGAGCAUGGGUUUCCCUUAGCCUUGAGGUAAGGUAUUGGAUGGAUACAUCUUGAUUAAGGAUGAAAAUUCCUUCAGGC